GACGAACGCUGGCGGCGUGGAUUAGGCAUGCAAGUCGAACGGUAUCAUCCUUUCGGGGGUGAGAGAGUGGCGAACUGGUGAGUAACACGUAGGUUAUCUACCCUCAAGACGGGGACAACCCAGGGAAACUUGGGCUAAUACCGGAUGUGAGCAACUUUUAGUUGUUUGAAAGGUGGCGUAAGCUGUCGCUUGGGGAUGAGCCUGCGUCCUAUUAGUUAGUUGGUGAGGUAACGGCUCACCUAGGCAAUGAUAGGUAGGCGGCCUUAACGGGUGGUCGCCCACACUGGGAUUGAGAUACGGCCCAGACUCCUACGGGAGGCAGCAGUCGAGAAUAGUCUACAAUGGUCGGAAGACUGAUAGUGCGACGCCGCGUGAACGAUGAAUCCUUCGGGUGUAAAGUUCUUUUAUAUGUGAGCAGUGCUUCUUAUAUUAACAGUAUGGGAGAGAGAUAUUAGCAUAUAGAAUAAGACAACGGCUAACUCCGUGCCAGCAGCCGACGGU
This 501-nucleotide ribosomal RNA is filed under the name uncultured bacterium. RNAcentral's name for it is "bacterial SSU rRNA". It matches the Rfam family "Bacterial small subunit ribosomal RNA", at positions 28 to 521 of the family's 1533-position model. The record is from RNAcentral.